GACGAACGCUGGCGGCGUGCUUAACACAUGCAAGUCGAACGGAAAGGCCCUGCUUGCAGGGUACUCGAGUGGCGAACGGGUGAGUAACACGUGGGUGAUCUGCCCUGCACUUCGGGAUAAGCCUGGGAAACUGGGUCUAAUACCGGAUAGGAGCCAUUUUUAGUGUGAGGGUUGGAAAGUUUUUUUCGGUGUAGGAUGAGCUCGCGGCCUAUCAGCUUGUUGGUGGGGGAAUGGCCUACCAAGGCGGCGACGGGUAGCCGGCCUGGGAGGGGGGACGGCCACCUUUGGGCUGGGGUACGGCCCAGACUCCUACGGGGGGCAGCAGUUGGGAAUAUUGCACAAUGGGCGCAAGCCUGAUGCAGCGACGCCGCGUGGGGAAUGACGGCCUUCGGGUUGUAAACUCCUUUCGCUAGGGACGAAGCUUUUUGUGACGGUACCUAGAGAAGAAGCACCGGCUAACUACGUG
RNAcentral lists this ribosomal RNA (466 nucleotides) under uncultured bacterium. RNAcentral describes it as "partial 16S ribosomal RNA". It matches the Rfam family "Bacterial small subunit ribosomal RNA", at positions 28 to 507 of the family's 1533-position model. The record is from RNAcentral.